Long non-coding RNA from Pteropus alecto (black flying fox), 5613 nucleotides. RefSeq lists it as uncharacterized. Lineage: Eukaryota; Metazoa; Chordata; Mammalia; Chiroptera; Pteropodidae. The record is from RefSeq and is a predicted model, not a curated record. The transcript is spliced from 3 exons.
UACAUUAUAAUGACUUAUUCAUCUAUGCCCUUGUUGACGGUUAGCUUUUUAAGGGUGUGGACUAUUUCUUAUUCAUUUUUGCACAUAAUAGUACCUGGCAUAUAGUAGGUGGUCAGUAAAUAUUGCUGAAUAAAUGAAUGAAUGAAUAAAAUUAAGAACAGGUCUCAGAAUCAAAGACAUAGGAGGUAUUCCGUAAACGUUGUUGGUUGAAUGAAUGAAUGAAUGAAUGAAGUUUAAAAUGGGUCACAGAAUCAAAGGGUCUUAGGGGUAGAAAGAAUUUGGAAGAACAUCUCCUGCUGGCUUCCUCUGUCAGAAGUGAGAAAACAACUUGGCUGACUUGUACAACUGGGCUGGGUAGGAGAGAUGACCAGUGCCACGGACACUCACUUGGAUGUGGCCUGGAGAUGACUGGAGAAAGUCAUGUGCUCCCGGAGGAGACUGCUGAGAGGAGCAGAGGCCGUGGCCUGCACCACAGGGGGAUGCCACAGUCUCAGAGCAAGAGAGAACGUUUGUGGUUGGAAGUCUGUGGCACAUUCCAGACUGCAGAGUCUCCCCUCAGCUAUUGGCUGCUGCUCUCUCUCUGUCCUCACACUGUGCCAAGACUGUAAGAUUUUCCUGAUGACUGGGCAUAUUCCACAUCUGGAUUCCAUGCUCAUAACAACUAGAAGUUUCCUGUCGUCUUGGGUUGAGGUGAUUAUGAUAUAGAGCUGGGUACCCAUAUCAACAAUUUUGAGGCAGAGUGAUGAUGACCAUGAAAUGUUUCAUUACAAGUUUUCCAGCUGCGGAGGACUUCACCCCACGUGGCAGUGUGGUCCGUGUGGACAGUAACCCCUGGCUCCUACAAACGCUACAGUGUUAGAAUCCAGAGGUGAACAAACCCAGAAAAAAGCCUCAGGCCUUCAUUCAGACUUAAGUGUAUUGGUUUCCUGGGGCUGCCAUAACAAAGAACCACAGACUGGGUGGCGUAAACAACAGGAAUUUAUUGUCUCACUGUUCUGGAGGCCAGAAGUCCAAGAUCAAGGUGUCAGCAGGACCACACUCCCUCUGGGGAAGGAGCUGCUUCAGGCCUCUCUCCCUGCGGCUGGUAGCUCCUUAGCCGGCGGCAGCAUAACUCCAGCCUUCACAUCGUGUGUCUGUCUCUGUGUCCAAAUUCCCUCUUUUUAUAGAACACCAUUCAUACUGGGUUAGGGCUCACCCCAUGACCUCAUCUUGAUCAUCUGUAAAAACCCUAUUUCCAAAUAAGGUCGAAGUCACAGAUUACUGGAUGUUGGACUUCAGCAUAUUUUGAGGGGAUCUAAUUCAACUCAUGACACUAGGUUUUCAUCGUUAGUUUGCGCAGUUUUAAGAAGCCUGGUGAUUGUAAUCUCAGCUAUGGCAGACAGAAAGCCGCAGAUUUAGGAGGAAGGGGCUCUGCAUAGGGCAUUCAAAAGUACUAUUAAAGUAAGAAUAGUAAUUUAAAGUACAAUUGCUUGAGGCCAUUUAAUAUUGGGGCAAGCUGCUGAAAAGUCCCAGUCACCUCUGAGACACAUCUGUGUAUUACAAACGUCGUAAUCGUGUUGAACACAUCAUGCUCGAGUGUGUCUGUGUUUUUAAAUCCCAUCAAAAUGAAAUUUUAAAAUGUUGAUUGCUUGAAGGUACUUUGGUACUUUUUGGUUACUUGAAAAAUUACUUUUUUUGUCAAGCUCCUAGUGUUCUUUUAGAUGUUUUGAGGAUUCGGGUUUGAAGUUUGCUUUGUUACUCCCUAAAUAUGUAUGUUUGAUAAGCCAUUAACAUUUUGGAACCUUGGUUUCCUUGUCUGUAAAAUGAAGAGAGUAUGAUCUACCACAUAAAGUUAUUGUGAGGGUCAACUUUUCCGAUGAAUAUUAAAAUAUCUAAUAUAGUACCAGGUACAUUUUCAGUGCUUUAUGCCUGAUUGUGGAUUCAUUAGACAAAUGUUUGUUGGGAGCCUAUUAUACUCCAGCCUUGUUAUAGAAUUCAUUCAUUCACUUAAUGAUACUGACGCCCUGAUUUAGUAGCAGAAGCCCCAGCUUUCGGAUCGGGACAUCUCAGCUAAAGUCCUGUCUAUGUUUGUAAAUCAUCUAUGUGGAUCUUGGGCAAAUCACUGAUCGUCUCUCAGUCUCUGCUCAGAGCUGAGCCGUGGGCACUAGAUCAUCGAGGCUUUGCCAUUUCUAAAAUUAUUCAUAUAACAAAAUCCAAAUUCAACAAAUAAGGCUCUAGUUCUUGAUCGUCUGCAGAUCCGUGUACAAUCCUGGGACGUUACCCUCUCCGCUUUAGUUUUCUCUCUGAAGUGUGGUAACAGGACUAGUACUGUGUGUUUUCUGACCUCGGUCAUGGCAACGAUGACAGCCGCCCUUGAUUGAGCUUCGACACUGUGCUAGGUACUUGCCAUGCCCUUUUGCUUCUCCAGUAGGGUACGUGUUUCUCCAAAGCAGGUGGGGAUCCAGAGAAAGAUGGUGCUUCCUUCCGGAGAAUAAAUGUUCCUGAAUGGUUGGUGAGAAACACUCCCGCGGUGUUGAGUAAGGACAAGAACAGCUAUAGUAUAUAGAGUGCAGCAUUCCCUUGAAUUGUUAAGCUAAAACGCAGAGAAAUCUGGGGCUUCCUGGAGGGGGCUUCGGCUUCAGUCCCAAGUUCUCCUUCGGGUGCUGUUCACUUUUCUUGACCACUAGGGAGAUUUUGGUGGGAAAGUUUGCAAAACAGACUCUCUUCUUUUGUGUUAGACUCAACAUGAGAAAAAUAGAAUUAUCAUUUAUAAUUUUGAAAAUAGUUCUCGUUUCCAGUACUAAGUGCUACUUUUCCAAUAGUUAAUACGUUCUUCUUAUUCAUUUGACAAAUAAUAAUUGUCUGCUGUGUGUACGGUACCAUUCUACGUGCUGAGGAUACAGCAGCAAACAGUACAGAGCUCUCAUGGAGCGUUUAUUUUAAUAGACAAUGACGUUGGAGGGGAAAUCUGUGGCAGUAAGGGAAUCAACCAUGAGGCUAUUUUUUUUUUUUUGGUAGGGGGGCAGAUUCCAGGCAAAAGAAGCAGCAAGUACAAAGGCCCUGAGGCAGGAGCCUGCUUUAUUAGCAAGGACGAGCAGUAGGAGAUGAGGUCAGAGGGAUACAAAUUAUGUAGGGCCUUGAAAUCAAGGUAAGGCUUUUGGAUUUUAUUCUGAGAAACAAGAGAAGCCAUUGUGGAGGCUUUGGGGAUGGGAGUAGUGGAGCCUGACAUAAUAUUUUAAAAGCUCAUCCUGGCUGCUGGCUGAGAAUAGUGGGGCAGAAUCAGAAGUAGGGAGGGUAGUUGGAAGGCUGCUGUCAGUUCAGGCGAGCGAUGGCGGCACCGUGUACCAGGUGGGAGCGGUAGAAAUGGUGAAAAGUGGCAAGAUUUGGGAUGUGUAUUGAAGGUAGGAUCAACCAAAUUCACGAAUGAUUUGGAUGUGAGGUAUGAGAGAAAGAGAAGGGUCAAGGCUGGCUGCAGAAAUUUUGGCCUAAGCGGCUGUAAGGAUGGAGCCGUUGUCCUUGAUGUUGAGAUGGGCGGUUUGAGGGAGGAGCUUGGGUAAUUCCUCAGUCACUGCAAGAUCUGGCUAAUACGCAGCUUUAAGUGCCAACAUUGAAGCCAGCUGAGAUACUGCUUGGAACUCUCAUGGAAGAGAAGGAGUGAUGUGUCUAUUUUUGUUACCUCUUUUUUACUCAUGGACAUUUAAAAUAAUAAUUUUUAAAUAUUGCCAUGUGCAAACUACUCAUCUUGACCCAGGAGCCCUCCCUGCUGUCUGGUCUGAGGACUCUCGUCCUCUCCAGACUUUCUGCCGUUUCCCCACGCCCUACGACACCUCUUCCCCAGCUGGACUGGUGACAGGAAUCUGGUCUUCUCCACCCUGGCAGUUUGAAAUAACUAGCAGUUCUUAAAUUUUCUUCCUGGCCAUGCUGCAAGCGGUCGGGUGCCCUGGGCAUCGAUGUUUUGAUAUCUGUGCUCUGAGGCUUUGUCCUGGGGAACCGAUUAGUGGCCGGUGCGUUGAACUCAGACUGUGGACUUGGAGCCCGGAACCCCGGAGAGGUCUCUUAGGUGCGGGCAGAACUGGUGUGGGGGAUGUGCUAAGGGUUUCUGGCUACAAAGGGGCAAUUUAAAAAUUGGCAGGUAAAACUGGCCUAGAUGAGGAUCUGUUUUAUGCUUAAAAUUACAAAAUUGGUUCAGAACAGCCUGAUGUGCAGCGUGCUGAGCCUUUAUUAAACAUUAUAGAGGUCAUUGCUUGUCUUCCUGGUGCCUCUUUCCUCGCCUUUCUUCUGUGACCCACAUUGAGCCAAUGGUAGAGCCCGCCCUCUGGCCUCCGUGAUAGAACCAAGGAGCAGAACAUGACCUCCCCCAGGCCAAUCAGACGGGGAAAGACCUUUCUCCGAUGGUAAGUCAUUGAGAGUGAAAACCUAAAACCUGAGCAGCCAGGUCGUCGGCCUCCUAGGAAAGGCAGCCUGAGAGGACGAGCCAACCUCUGAAGGGAGAGAGAGUUUAGAGGCAAACGAGAGAGCGCCCUGAAGGGCGUUGACAUCCUCUCUGCUGCUGGAAGCUCCUUCGUGCCCCUCUCAGGGAUGGGUACAGAGACUGAGAACCUUAACUGUGGCUGCCUGCUGUCGUGGUGGUAAUUACAACCACAGGAGCCCUGGUCCCCCUACAUCGAGCGGGAGCGCCAUAAUGACUGACUCAUGGUCCUGCCUCCGGUAUUUAUAAGCUAAUGGUUUGAUUUUGCAACUAGUGAGUACAGUAAGAUGAUUGAUAAACUCUGCCCUUCGCAAAUCAAUAGAUGGUGUCCUUUUAAAGUGUGAAGAAUCAAGAAUAUAAAAAAUUUUUGUUUGGUCGAUUUAUCCAGCAAUUAUCACCUGGAUAUUAGCUUUCUCCAUGACUGGGCUAUUUGCUGUUUGAUAUUUUGCAGACCCACUUCCAAGUGGAUUUCCAACAUCAUCUGUUAGAAUCGUCAUCCUUCGAGGUCUAUUUCCACAGCCACAUUCACCACCAGAAUUAAUCACUCCUUUUGUGCAUAUGCAACCCUUGCUCUGUUCCUCUGUGCUUCCUAUGCUUGUGCGACCCUUGCACUCCCACAGAUUAUAAACUAUGGGCCAGAGACUUGCAUCUCUGAGUCUCCUUGUUGCAGAGAACAGUUCCUUGAAUGUUCACUAAAUGUCUGUUGAGUUAAAUCAACUGUUAGCACUGGUUUUGCUAAUAACUUUUGUGUACGAUUCCUUCAACUUUACAAACCACUUCUGUAUAAAACCACAUGGAAAAUUUGGUUGUAUGAUUUGAGGGAAGCAUUAAAGGUAUAACUGACAAAAUCGAUAGAGAUACAUGGCCUUAAAAGGUAGGGAUAGGUAUUUAGCUAUUGAUAUGCAUUCGAUAGAAAGGGAGAACUUGGAAGAUUUUUAGAUGAAGAUGAGCCAGAAGAUGAGUUGGUAGGUACCAGGUGAACACACCUGUGUUCAUAAGACGAGUGUGUUGACUGCCAGAGAAUUGACCAUAGGCGAGUUCUGAGGGGUCGAGCCUCUUCUCUUCCCAACCUGCUGGUUACAUUUAUGUGAACUGUCUGGAGGGGAUGAUUUAUGGAUAGAUUAAGAAGUAUGAGUUCUGGGCUUCCAUCUCCACUUGCUUUAACC